RNAcentral lists this ribosomal RNA (1467 nucleotides) under uncultured Bordetella sp. RNAcentral describes it as "partial 16S-23S ribosomal RNA intergenic spacer". It matches the Rfam family "Bacterial small subunit ribosomal RNA". Lineage: Bacteria; Pseudomonadati; Pseudomonadota; Betaproteobacteria; Burkholderiales; Alcaligenaceae. The record is from RNAcentral.
GGUCUGAUUAUGGUUCAGAUUAACGCUGGCGGAUGCUUUACAAUACAAAAGUCGAACGGCAGCACGGACUUCGGUCUGGUGGCGAGUGGCGAACGGGUGAGUAAUGUAUCGGAAUGCCUAGUAGCGGGGGAUAACUACGCGAAAGCGUAGCUUAAUACCGGUAUACGCCCUUCGGGGAAAGCGGGGACCCUUCGCCUCGCACUAUUAGAGCGGCCGAUAUCGGAUUAGCUAGUUGGUGGGGUAACGGCUCACCAAGGCGACGAUCCGUAGCUGGUUUGAGGACGACCAGCCACACUGGGACUGAGACACGGCCCAGACUCCUACGGGAGGCAGGGGGGAAUUUUGGACAAUGGGGAAACCCUGAUCCAGCCAUCCCUGCGUGUGCGAUGAAGGCCUUCGGGUUGUAAAGCACUUUCGGCAGGAAAGAAACGGCACGGAUAAUACCCCGCAAAACUGACGGUAUUCUGCAGAAUAAGCACCGGCUAACUACGCCAGCAGCCGCGGUAAUACGUAGGUGCAAGCGGUGACCGGAAUUACUGGGCGCAAGCGUGCGCAGGCGGUUCGGAAAGCGAAAGAUGUGAAAUCCCAGAGCUUAACUUUGGAACUGCAUUUUUAACUACCGAGCUAGAGUGUACAGGGAGGUGGAAUUCCGCGUGUGUAGCAGUGAAUGCGAGAUAUGCGGAGGAACACCGAUGGCGAAGGCAGCCUCCCUGGGAUAACACUGACGCUCAUGCACGAAAGCGUGGGGAGCAAACAGGAUUAGACGGCUCCCGGUAGUCCACGCCCUAAAACGAUGUCAACUAGCUGCUGGGGCCUCGGGCCUGGUAUGCAGGCUAACGCGUGAAGUUGACCGCCUGGGGAGUACGGUCGCAAGAUUAAAACUCAAAGGAAUUUGACGGGACUCGCACAAGCGGUGGAUGAUGAUUAAUUCGGAUGCAACGCGAAAACCUUACCUACCCUUGACAUGUCUGGAAUCCCGAAGAGAUUUGGGAGUGCUCGCAAGAGAACCGGAACACAGGUGCUGCAUGGCUGUCGUCAGCUCGUGUCGAGAUGUUGGGUUAAGUCCCGCAACGAGCGCAACCCUCUUAAGUCAUUAGUUGCCACAGCGGGCAUCAAUGAGACUGCCGGUGACAAACCGAGGAAGGUGGGGAUGACGUCAAGUCUCAUGGCCCUUAUGGGUAGGGCUUCACACGUCAUACAAUGGUCGGGACAGAGGGUCGCCAACCCGCGAGGGGAGCCAAUCCCAGAAACCCGAUCGUAGUCCGGAUCGCAGUCUGCAACUCGACUGCGUGAAGUCGGAAUCGCUAGUAAUCGCGGAUCAGCAUGUCGCGGUGAAUACGUUCCGGUCUUGUACACACCGCCCGUCACACCUCAUGGGUGGGUUUUACCAGAAGUAGUUAGCCUAACCGUAAGGAGGGCGGAUACCACGGUAGGAUUCAUGAUCAGUGGAAGUCGUAAGAAGUGGCA